UGGCUCAGAGGUUAAAGCAUCUGCCUGGAAUGCAGGAGACCCAGGUUCGAUCCCUGG
Ovis aries (sheep) is the source of this 57-nucleotide transfer RNA. It matches the Rfam family "tRNA", at positions 8 to 63 of the family's 71-position model. From Rfam's summary of the family: Transfer RNA (tRNA) molecules are approximately 80 nucleotides in length. Their secondary structure includes four short double-helical elements and three loops (D, anti-codon, and T loops). Lineage: Eukaryota; Metazoa; Chordata; Mammalia; Artiodactyla; Bovidae. The record is from Rfam.